Molecule: ribosomal RNA, 740 nt
Filed under: Stenotrophomonas maltophilia
Lineage: Bacteria; Pseudomonadati; Pseudomonadota; Gammaproteobacteria; Lysobacterales; Lysobacteraceae
Description: bacterial LSU rRNA
Rfam family: Bacterial large subunit ribosomal RNA
Source: RNAcentral
AGGCAACUUGCGGUUAUAUGGUCAAGCGAAUAAGCGCACACGGUGGAUGCCUUGGCGGUCAGAGGCGAUGAAGGACGUGGCAGCCUGCGAAAAGUAUCGGGGAGCUGGCAACAAGCUUUGAUCCGGUAAUGUCCGAAUGGGGAAACCCACCCGCUUGCGGGUAUCCUGCAGUGAAUACAUAGCUGCUGGAAGCGAACCUGGUGAACUGAAAUAUCUAAGUAACCAGAGGAAAAGAAAUCAACCGAGAUUCCGUAAGUAGCGACGAGCGAACGCGGACUAGCCCUUAAGCUGAUUUGGUUCUAGGAAAACACUCUGGAAAGAGUGGCCAUAGAAGGUGAUAGCCCUGUAUCUGAAAGGGCCAUUUCAGUGAAGACGAGUAGGGCGGGGCACGUGAAACCCUGUCUGAACAUGGGGGGACCAUCCUCCAAGGCUAAAUACUACUGACCGACCGAUAGUGAACCAGUACCGUGAGGGAAAGGCGAAAAGAACCCCGGAGAGGGGAGUGAAAUAGAACCUGAAACCGUGUGCGUACAAGCAGUAGGAGCUCCGCAAGGAGUGACUGCGUACCUUUUGUAUAAUGGGUCAGCGACUUACUGUUCGUGGCAAGCUUAACCGUAUAGGGGAGGCGAAGGGAAACCGAGUCUGAUAAGGGCGCAUAGUCGCGGGCAGUAGACCCGAAACCGGGUGAUCUAGUCAUGCCCAGGGUGAAGGUGCGGUAACACGCACUGGAGGCCCGAACC